UAGGGAAUCUUCCGCAAUGGACGAAAGUCUGACGGAGCAACGCCGCGUGAGUGAAGAAGGAUUUCGGUUCGUAAAACUCUGUUGAUAGGGAAGAAAAAAUGUAUAGUAACUAUAUACAAAAGAGACGGUACCUAACCAGAAAGCCACGGCUAACUACGUGCCAGCAGCCGCGGUAAUACGUAGGUGGCAAGCGUUGUCCGGAAUUAUUGGGCGUAAAGCGCGCGCAGGUGGUUUAGAAAGUCUGAUGUGAAAGCCCACGGCUCAACCGUGGAGGGUCAUUGGAAACUAAUAAACUUGAGUGCAGGAGAGAAAAGUGGAAUUCCUAGUGUAGCGGUGAAAUGCGUAGAGAUUAGGAGGAACACCGGUGGCGAAAGCGGCUUUUUGGCCUGCAACUGACACUGAGGCGCGAAAGCGUGGGGAGCAAACAGG
RNAcentral lists this ribosomal RNA (429 nucleotides) under Verrucomicrobiota bacterium. RNAcentral describes it as "Verrucomicrobia bacterium partial 16S ribosomal RNA". It matches the Rfam family "Bacterial small subunit ribosomal RNA", at positions 355 to 776 of the family's 1533-position model. The record is from RNAcentral. Lineage: Bacteria; Pseudomonadati; Verrucomicrobiota.